This 490-nucleotide ribosomal RNA is filed under the name uncultured bacterium. Its description in RNAcentral is "partial 16S ribosomal RNA". It matches the Rfam family "Bacterial small subunit ribosomal RNA", at positions 30 to 507 of the family's 1533-position model. The record is from RNAcentral.
AUUGAACGCUGGCGGCAGGCCUAACACAUGCAAGUCGAACGGUAACAGGAAGCAGCUUGCUGCUUUGCUGACGAGUGGCGGACGGGUGAGGAAUGUCUGGGAAACUGCCCGAUGGAGGGUGAUAACUACUGGAAACGGUAGCUAAUACCGCAUAACGUCGCAAGACCAAAGAGGGGGACCUUAGGGCCUCUGGCCAUCGGAUGUGCCCAGAUGGGAUUAGCUAGGAGGUGGGGUAGCGGCUCACCUAGGCGACGAACCCUAGCUGGUCUGAGAGGAUGACCAGCCACCCUGGACCUGAGCCACGCUCCAGACUCCUGCGGGAGGACGCAGUCGGGAAUAUUGCGCAAUGGGCGCAAGCCUGAUGCAGCCAUGCCGCGUGUAUGAAGAAGGCCUUCGGGUUGUAAAGUACUUUCAGCGGGGAGGAAGCGAGUUCAGUUAAUACCUUUGCUCAUUGACGUUACCCGCAGAAGAAGCACCGGCUAACUCCGUG